AGAGCGAACGCUGGCGGCAGGCCUAACACAUGCAAGUCGAGCGCCCGUAGCAAUACGGGAGCGGCAGACGGGAUAGUAACACGUGGGAACGCGCCCUUCGGUUCGGAAUAACUCAGGGAAACUUGAGCUAAUACCGAAUACGCCCUUACGGGGAAAGAUUUAUUGCCGAAGGAACGGCCCGCGUCCGAUUAGCUAGUUGGUGAGGUAAUGGCUCACCAAGGCUACGAUCGGUAGCUGGUCUGAGAGGAUGACCAGCAUCACUGGGACUGAGACACGGCCCAGACUCCUACGGGAGGCAGCAGUGGGGAAUAUUGGACAAUGGGCGCAAGCCUGAUCCAGCCAUGCCGCGUGGAUGAUGAAGGCCUUAGGGUUGUAAAGUCCUUUUAACGGGGAAGAUAAGUGACGGUACCCGUAGAAUAAGCCCGGCUAACUUCGUGCCAGCAGCCGC
Molecule: ribosomal RNA, 448 nt
Filed under: uncultured bacterium
Lineage: Bacteria
Description: SSU rRNA
Rfam family: Bacterial small subunit ribosomal RNA
Source: RNAcentral